AGCGGCGGAUGGGUGAGUAACACGUGGGGAACCUGCCCCUAAGUCUGGGAUACCAUUUGGAAACAGGUGCUAAUACCGGAUAAUAAAGCAGAUCGCAUGAUCAGCUUUUGAAAGGCGGCGUAAGCUGUCGCUAAGGGAUGGCCCCGCGGUGCAUUAGCUAGUUGGUAAGGUAACGGCUUACCAAGGCGACGAUGCAUAGCCGAGUUGAGAGACUGAUCGGCCACAUUGGGACUGAGACACGGCCCAAACUCCUACGGGAGGCAGCAGUAGGGAAUCUUCCACAAUGGACGCAAGUCUGAUGGAGCAACGCCGCGUGAGUGAAGAAGGUUUUCGGAUCGUAAAGCUCUGUUGUUGGUGAAGAAGGAUAGAGGUAGUAACUGGCCUUUAUUUGACGGUAAUCAACCAGAAAGUCACGGCUAACUACGUGCCAGCAGCCGCGGUAAUACGUAGGUGGCAAGCGUUGUCCGGAUUUAUUGGGCGUAAAGCGAGCGCAGGCGGAAAAAUAAGUCUAAUGUGAAAGCCCUCGGCUUAACCGAGGAACUGCAUCGGAAACUGUUUUUCUUGAGUGCAGAAGAGGAGAGUGGAACUCCAUGUGUAGCGGUGGAAUGCGUAGAUAUAUGGAAGAACACCAGUAGCGAAAGGCGGCUCUCUGGUCUGCAACUGACGCUGAGGCUCGAAAGCAUGGGUAGCGAGCAGGAUUAGAUACCCUGGUAGUCCAUGCCGUAAACGAUGAGUGCUAAGUGU
This 744-nucleotide ribosomal RNA is filed under the name uncultured bacterium. RNAcentral's name for it is "bacterial SSU rRNA". It matches the Rfam family "Bacterial small subunit ribosomal RNA", at positions 94 to 823 of the family's 1533-position model. The record is from RNAcentral.